Myotis brandtii (Brandt's bat) is the source of this 75-nucleotide non-coding RNA. The record is from Rfam. NCBI's taxonomy places the organism in Eukaryota, Metazoa, Chordata, Mammalia, Chiroptera, Vespertilionidae.
GGUUGUUCUCAGGUGAUGCACCCCAGAAUUGGGCUCCCUCCUCUCUGGUUUUGGGUGCCUCACCUGAGAAUGGCA